Molecule: ribosomal RNA, 978 nt
Filed under: Triticum aestivum (bread wheat)
Lineage: Eukaryota; Viridiplantae; Streptophyta; Magnoliopsida; Poales; Poaceae
Description: partial small subunit ribosomal RNA
Source: RNAcentral
AUGUCGACGGCAGGGACAAAGGUUCCAGUGAAAGCAGUUGCACAAGUAGUACCGGUUUUCUCUAUGUCAUGCUUUAAGCUUCCAAGGGGUCUAUGUGAACACUUAAAUCCGAUGAUCAGAAAAUUUUGGUGGGGAUGCACGGGCGGAAAGCGGAAGCCAUACUGGGUGUCAUGGAAGACAAUGACCCAACCGAAAGGCAUGGACGAUCUAGGCUUCAAAUAUUUUGAACUUUUUAAUAUGGCCAUGCUCACCGAGCAGGAGUGGUGUCUAUUGCGAAACCCUGAUUCUUUGAGUGCUCGGCUGCUCAAAAGUGUGUACUACCCCAACACUUCAAUCUUGGAAGCAGCUUUAGGAGGACACCCAACGUACAAGAUGUUAGUUUCUACGCGACAGAGGAGAGAAGCCUGGCUCGAGGGUUCGUCAGGCACGUCAAGUGCUGCGCAAGAAGAGGGUUCAUGGAAGGGCGUGUCGAAAAUGCAAGUUCCAGUGAAAAUACAUAUGUUCUUAUGGAGGAUCUCAAAACGCUCUAUACCGACCGAAGACGUUCGAGCGCACCGGCACAUGACUAAUAACAGCUACUGCGGUUUCUGUGGAUCCCCUGACUCAUGGAGGCAUUCUAUUGAGAAAUGCACCACUUCCAGAUGCACCUGGGCUUUAGUUGACGAUGAGUUGGCACAGAAACUAAUAUCCAUCGCCGAACCUAAUGCUAAGAAGUGGCUAUUCAGUCUAAUGGACUCACUAUCGCACGAUCAGUUUGUGCUUCUUUCAGUGACUUUAUGGGCGAUUUGGUCAGCUCAACGCAAAGCCAUUAAUGAAGGAAUUUUCCAUACCCCACAAGAACCACAACGACCAAAGGCCCCUCUGGUUGGAUACGCCAAGAUACACGUAGAUGCGAGCGUCAGAAAGGGAGAGGUGUUUCGGGAUCUGCCAUUUGCCGUGACAGCAACGAUCAGUAUAUGGGCAGAUCAGUGCUGGUAA